Molecule: long non-coding RNA, 504 nt
Filed under: Homo sapiens (human)
Lineage: Eukaryota; Metazoa; Chordata; Mammalia; Primates; Hominidae
Description: HSALNT0231885
Source: RNAcentral
GGAUACCGAGGCCUAGGCGGACGGGAAGGAGGUCUUAGGGGAGGGAUCAAAGAGUCGUUUUAGGCUUAAAUAUAAAUAUAUAUGUAUAUAUGGAUAUUUGUCAGCCUGAAACCUCUUUUCAAAAGCCGCAGGGUGUCUCUGGCCAUUGAAUAACUUUCCUCAGUAGCAAAGUGAGGGUUUUGUGCGCGUCGAGGGCGCGUUGCGGCGGACAAGGGGCAGGUUUAGGAGGGACACGGUUCAAGUUCCGCGUCCGCCCCUUAGCUGCCGCUUGCACGUGGGCAAAUUAAUCUCUCCGAGCCUCCAUGUUCUUAUCGGGAACGUGGGGCAAAGAGUUGGGGUGAGGGCGAGCUCUCCCCUCCAGGGGCCCCUCGGGCGAUGCACCCACCCGACCCACCAUCAAAGGUGAAGCAGGCCUUGGGACUCUUCGUGCCAAGACAAGGAAUAAACAAACAAGCCAAGAAAUCCAGAAGACACCUGAAGAGGACUGACUGUUUCUUUGCCACG